GAACUGAAGAGUUUGAUCAUGGCUCAGAUUGAACGCUGGCGGCAGGCCUAACACAUGCAAGUCGAGCGGAUGAGAGGAGCUUGCUCCUGGAUUCAGCGGCGGACGGGUGAGUAAUGCCUAGGAAUCUGCCUGGUAGUGGGGGACAACGUUUCGAAAGGAACGCUAAUAC
Molecule: ribosomal RNA, 169 nt
Filed under: Pseudomonas siliginis
Lineage: Bacteria; Pseudomonadati; Pseudomonadota; Gammaproteobacteria; Pseudomonadales; Pseudomonadaceae
Description: partial 16S ribosomal RNA
Rfam family: Bacterial small subunit ribosomal RNA
Source: RNAcentral